AGGAGUGUAGCUCAGUUGGCAGAGCGGCGGUCUCCAAAACCGUAGGUCGCAGGUUCGAAUCCUGUCACUCCUGCCA
Molecule: transfer RNA, 76 nt
Filed under: bacterium
Lineage: Bacteria
Description: tRNA-Trp
Rfam family: tRNA
About the family: Transfer RNA (tRNA) molecules are approximately 80 nucleotides in length. Their secondary structure includes four short double-helical elements and three loops (D, anti-codon, and T loops).
Source: RNAcentral